Long non-coding RNA from Lethenteron reissneri (Far Eastern brook lamprey), 1285 nucleotides. RefSeq lists it as uncharacterized. The record is from RefSeq and is a predicted model, not a curated record. Lineage: Eukaryota; Metazoa; Chordata; Hyperoartia; Petromyzontiformes; Petromyzontidae.
UGGGGGGUCUCCGCCUGAUGUCAAGCGUCAACAACGUGUCUUCAAUGAAGUGCCAUCUCAACAGAAGUGUGUCAAGUCGUCGUUAGACAUCCGUACGUGAAACUUUACUUUGCAUCAGCCACCGGGCCACCAACAAUGACGUUGCUACUCAACCCAAACAAGGUCCCAACACGAGCAGCGAAAUGCACGGCCACAGGGCAGUGAAGGAGGCCUGUGCAUAAACAAAUAUAUAUAAGAAACUGUUAGAAUUUUAACAGUUCCAGAGCAACGACUACAUUUUUUUCUACAUUCAGAUGCUCAAGCCAGACAACCGCGUCAGGAGCAGUAGCGGAGUCGUGCCACGCUGUGAUGAAGUCUCUUUCCUCGUUAUUUGUGGAUCGACCUUUGCAUCGUUCAACGUUCUACGGUCCGUUCUGGGUGACCACGGUCGCGCGCUACUACUGGAGAGUUUUUAGUUUUGCAUUUUUCCAUAAGGCAUCUGCCAUGGUUUGUGCUGAUGCGGUUCAGGGUGGCCCAUGAGCUUCGUGGAAGCUCAAACCCAGGUGUCUUCACAGGGGUAACAAAUCUACGCCGUUCACGUGCCAAACGAAGUAGAGCCGUGUCCAAUUUUCUCGUGUAUAGAGUGCUUCUGCAUCGUUGAUGCUAGGGAUGAGUUUCGGAUUUAAAGCUAUUGGUUUUGCAAAUAUUCUGAGGCCCAUUUAUACUGAAUAUUUUUCAGAUUGUCUGGUUAAAACAUUUAAUUGUAUUUGUCUUCACUGUUAGGCCAUUAACUUGUAAUAACACUAAAUUAUAUAUUUUUAUUCAAACCAUGUGUCAUAUUCCAUUCAUCGGUAUUUCGUUCUAUUCCAUUCAUUUGAAUUAUUGUUAUUUAUACCCGGUAAACUUUUAUAGAAACUAAAAUUUUUUCUUUGGGAAAAGCAAACAAAAAUACAAUGGAUAUGCACUGCAACACAAUCCCCUGCAGGAGCUGCUGCUGCUGCUUAAUCGUUCGCGGACUGCACUUGCGAUCCUGAGGUCGUCGUUUUGAUCUCCCAGCGUGGCAGCUCAAACAAUGAAAGCGAAUCUUUAAAAACAAAAUCCUACCUCCACCUCUGUCCACCCAGGUCGCGUGUGGUGGAGUAAAUGAUGGUUACUCCCACCAGGACGCCUGUUCUGUGUGAACCAAUUACUCUCUAAAGGGGCUCUACGGAGCAGUACUCCCAAGCAAAUCAUUUGCAUUGCUGUACAUUCAAUUCGUAUAUUAUUAACAAAAUCCAAGUACAUCAUGGAACCUCUCUUGCCAGUA